GACGAACGCUGGCGGCGUGCUUAACACAUGCCAGUCGAACGGAAAGGCCCUGCUUUUGUGGGGUGCUCGAGUGGCGAACGGGUGAGUAACACGUGAGUAACCUGCCCUUGACUUUGGGAUAACUUCAGGAAACUGGGGCUAAUACCGGAUAGGAGCUCCUGCUGCAUGGUGGGGGUUGGAAAGUUUCGGCGGUUGGGGAUGGACUCGCGGCUUAUCAGCUUGUUGGUGGGGUAGUGGCUUACCAAGGCUUUGACGGGUAGCCGGCCUGAGAGGGUGACCGGCCACAUUGGGACUGAGAUACGGCCCAGACUCCUACGGGAGGCAGCAGUGGGGAAUAUUGCACAGUGGGCGGAAGCCUGAUGCAGAAACGCCGCGUGCGGGAUGACGGCCUUCGGGUUGUAAACCGCUUUCGCCUGUGACGAAGCGUGAGUGACGGUAAUGGGUAAAGAAGCACCGGCUAACUACGUG
Molecule: ribosomal RNA, 468 nt
Filed under: uncultured bacterium
Lineage: Bacteria
Description: partial 16S ribosomal RNA
Rfam family: Bacterial small subunit ribosomal RNA
Source: RNAcentral